UACGGAGGGUGCAAGCGUUGCUCGGAAUCACUGGGCGUAAAGGGCGUGUAGGCGGCCUGUUAAGUCUGAUGUGAAAUCCCCUCGCUCAACGAGGGAACUGCGUCGGAAACUGGCAGGCUCGAGUACCGGAGAGGAAGGUGGAAUUCCCGGUGUAGCGGUGAAAUGCGUAGAUAUCUGGAGGAAUACCGGUGGCGAAGGCGGCAUCCUGGACCGGCAUUGACGCUGAGGAGCGAAAGCCAGGGGAGCAAACGGG
This 253-nucleotide ribosomal RNA is filed under the name uncultured bacterium. Its description in RNAcentral is "partial 16S ribosomal RNA". It matches the Rfam family "Bacterial small subunit ribosomal RNA", at positions 524 to 776 of the family's 1533-position model. The record is from RNAcentral.